RNAcentral lists this ribosomal RNA (644 nucleotides) under uncultured Lachnospiraceae bacterium. RNAcentral's name for it is "bacterial SSU rRNA". It matches the Rfam family "Bacterial small subunit ribosomal RNA", at positions 72 to 733 of the family's 1533-position model. Lineage: Bacteria; Bacillati; Bacillota; Clostridia; Lachnospirales; Lachnospiraceae. The record is from RNAcentral.
GGAAUGAAGUUUUAGUGACUGAGUGGCGGACGGGUGAGUAACGCGUGGGUAACCUGCCUCACACAGGGGGAUAACAGUUGGAAACGGCUGCUAAUACCGCAUAAGCGCACAGUACCGCAUGGUACAGUGUGAAAAACUCCGGUGGUGUGAGAUGGACCCGCGUCUGAUUAGCUAGUUGGCAGGGUAGCGGCCUACCAAGGCGACGAUCAGUAGCCGACCUGAGAGGGUGACCGGCCACAUUGGGACUGAGACACGGCCCAAACUCCUACGGGAGGCAGCAGUGGGGAAUAUUGCACAAUGGGGGAAACCCUGAUGCAGCGACGCCGCGUGAGCGAAGAAGUAUUUCGGUAUGUAAAGCUCUAUCAGCAGGGAAGAAGAAAUGACGGUACCUGACUAAGAAGCACCGGCUAAAUACGUGCCAGCAGCCGCGGUAAUACGUAUGGUGCAAGCGUUAUCCGGAUUUACUGGGUGUAAAGGGAGCGCAGGCGGAAGGCUAAGUCUGAUGUGAAAGCCCGGGGCUCAACCCCGGUACUGCAUUGGAAACUGGUCAUCUAGAGUGUCGGAGGGGUAAGUGGAAUUCCUAGUGUAGCGGUGAAAUGCGUAGAUAUUAGGAGGAACACCAGUGGCGAAGGCGGCUUACUGGA